Chenopodium quinoa (quinoa) is the source of this 2041-nucleotide long non-coding RNA. RefSeq lists it as uncharacterized. The transcript has 3 exons. The record is from RefSeq and is a predicted model, not a curated record. NCBI's taxonomy places the organism in Eukaryota, Viridiplantae, Streptophyta, Magnoliopsida, Caryophyllales, Amaranthaceae.
UCAAGUCAAGGCCCAACAACACACGGUCAAUCGGAUUUCAAGGGUCGGACCCUUAAACACGGAUGACAACACAAGUCCACCAUAAUGUGUCAUAAACCAUCCUAGCCAGCCUUCCAGACGAGAGAACCCUUAAGCACGGUUGGACAACACAUGGUCACCAUAACGUGCCGUAAAUAAUCCCUAGCCAACCUUCCAGCACGAUGAGGCUCAAACACGGCUGGACAACACAAGGCGCCACCAUAAUGUGUCGUGAACCAUUCUUAGCCAGCCAUCCGGCACGAGCCACAGCCUAGUUACUAAUCAUCCACCAUCACCGAAACAUCCAUUGCUUUUCUCGUAACCCAAUCGCGAUCCAUCAUAAAAAUAGACAAAACAACUUCAUUAGUUUUCCCUUAAACACCGUGGGCAGAACUCCUAGAUUUAGGCUUUUGGGCCAUGCAACGGAAACUCCGGUAAUUGGGCUAGCUUUAAUCUUCCUCAAUACUCUUCCACAGUGAAAUAAAUUCCCAAAUUCAAAACUGCCACUCUAAUUCUCCCCCCUUUAUCAGAGCUAUAUCCUCUCAUUUGUCGAUCACUGGAGAAAUUAAUGUCGCUUGAAACGAGAAAUCAGUUGCGAAAUCGCUUUCUCUCUCCUCCCUACUUCUCCAUCGCAAAAGCUAGGGUUUCAAGAGCUUACUAUUUCCUGAAAAAAGAGUGUUGAUAUGUAUGGUGAUCAAACAGAGUAAGAUUAAGCAGAGUGAUGAAGAUCAAUCUGCUAAUCUGCUAUGUGGGAGUUGUGAUGGCAUAUGAUGAUGAUGAUGAUCCUGAUGUAUGCACUUUUCUUGUGAAUUUAAUUAUGAAGGGUAGAGGAUGGGCCUCAAAGACAAGACUUUUCUGUUACCAAUGAAUUGCCUAACAUUAUGAUCAUCCGUACAACCAGUCAAACCAUAAUCCUGUGCAGGAAUCAAAGGGACAGGGACAACUUCCGCUCCAAGUGAAGUGUGCAAUACAAACAAGGAGUUCCAGGUGGCUGCGUUUUUUGCUUGCUCCCAAUGUUUCAGCUUCAAGCAGACCUAUAUAGAUCAUGACUUGUGCCAGGUAAUAGCCAAUUAUUGCAGCUUAUAACAUUUAUAGUUUAUGCUACUUUUAUAUCAUUUUGGAGAUGAAUAUACAUUAUCUUGGCCAAUGUGGCAUCCUACAUGUAGUAACUAGAAACUGCCCUUAACUGCUAUUUGAAUAGGACUGAAAAUAGGCCAUUCCGAAUUAGGGAAGCCAAUAAAAUGCCCAAAUCCUAAUCCUACUAACUUAAUUACCUUGGUAAUUUAUUGAAUGCACCGGGGAUGGAGCACUUAGCAUUGUGCUCCUGUUGGCACAUGGAGGCCCCCGUGAUGAUCAUGUGCCACCUCACACGUGCCAUGACCAUAAAUGUUGCUCCUGGGAGGAAGGUACAAGUAGUAAAUUACCCUCGUCCUCCCUAGUAGUGUUAGCCCAAUCUAUGAUUAUUUAUGGUUGGUUUGUUAGAAGUAAGUAAUGCGGUGCCUUCCCCCUCCCCACUUUUGGUUCACAUUCUCAUCUGUCAUUGUAAACCUCACAGGAAGCAAAGCAUAUAAGAGCAAUAAUAUUCCCUACCUCUAGCCUAUCUACCAUUCUUUGUUAUGGAAUCGUACUUACCAAUAAUAGCACUGGCUUGUAAUAGAAGAGAGAGAAAGAGAGACCAAACAGCGGCAACAAACUAAGGCCUAGUUUUCAAAUUGCUUCAUACCAAUUCAUCCAUGAUUAUAACUAACACCAGGAAUUUACACCUUUUAUUACUUCUCAUCCCUACCACAACUAGUAGAAGGAAAAUAUCUAAAGAAUCCAGAGUCUUAACAGUAAAAUAAAACGGGCCAUUAUCAUAGUAUUAAUCGAUAUUCAUGGAUACAUCCCCUGUUUAUUUCCCAAAUGGUGAGGCAAUAAGGGGGUACUAACAAAAUCUAGAUACAGAAAAGAAUGAACAAACUGAAACCAAAUCCAACUGGACACAGAUAUCGGAAUGUGAAAGAAAAAAAAAAAUUACACAUCC